RNAcentral lists this ribosomal RNA (1250 nucleotides) under metagenome. RNAcentral's name for it is "bacterial LSU rRNA". It matches the Rfam family "Bacterial large subunit ribosomal RNA", at positions 1635 to 2877 of the family's 2925-position model. The record is from RNAcentral.
UAUACGACCGUACCGCAAACCGACACUGGUGCGCGAGAUGAGUAUUCUAAGGCGCUUGAGAGAACUCAGGAGAAGGAACUCGGCAAAUUGACACCGUAACUUCGGAAGAAGGUGUGCCCUAUUAGUGUGUAGUGAACAACGAAGCAUGAACGGGUUGCAAAAAAUCGGUGGCUGCGACUGUUUAUUAAAAACACAGCACUCUGCAAACACGAAAGUGGACGUAUAGGGUGUGACGCCUGCCCGGUGCUGGAAGAUUAAAUGAUGGGGUGCAAGCUCUUGAUUGAAGUCCCAGUAAACGGCGGCCGUAACAAUAACGGUCCUAAGGUAGCGAAAUUCCUCGUCGGGUAAGUUCCGACCUGCACGAAUGGCGUAACGAUGGCCACACUGUCUCCUCCUGAGACUCAGCGAAGUUGAAAUGUUUGUGAUGAUGCAAUCUCCCCGCGGAAAGACGGAAAGACCCCAUGAACCUUUACUGUAGCUUUGUAUUGGACUUUGAACAGAUCUGUGUAGGAUAGGUGGGAGGCUUUGAAGCAGGGUCGCUAGAUCUUGUGGAGCCAACGUUGAAAUACCACCCUGGUGUGUUUGAGGUUCUAACCUAGGUCCAUUAUCUGGAUCGGGGACAGCGCAUGGUAGGCAGUUUGACUGGGGCGGUCUCCUCCCAAAGCGUAACGGAGGAGUUCGAAGGUACGCUAGUUACGGUCGGACAUCGUGACGAUAGUGCAAUGGCAUAAGCGUGCUUAACUGCGAGACUGACAAGUCGAGCAGAUGCGAAAGCAGGACAUAGUGAUCCGGUGGUUCUGUAUGGAAGGGCCAUCGCUCAACGGAUAAAAGGUACUCUGGGGAUAACAGGCUGAUACCGCCCAAGAGUUCAUAUCGACGGCGGUGUUUGGCACCUCGAUGUCGGCUCAUCUCAUCCUGGGGCUGUAGCCGGUCCCAAGGGUAUGGCUGUUCGCCAUUUAAAGAGGUACGUGAGCUGGGUUUAAAACGUCGUGAGACAGUUUGGUCCCUAUCUUCCGUGGGCGCUGCAGAUUUGAGGAAGCCUGCUCCUAGUACGAGAGGACCGGAGUGGACACACCUCUGGUGUAUCGGUUGUCACGCCAGUGGCAUUGCCGAGUAGCUAAGUGUGGAAGGGAUAACCGCUGAAAGCAUCUAAGCGGGAAACUCGUUUCAAGAUGAGAUCUGCCGGGGCCUUGAGCCCCCUAAAGAGUCGUUCAAGACCAGGACGUUGAUAGGUCAGGUGUGGAAGCCAA